Molecule: ribosomal RNA, 253 nt
Filed under: uncultured bacterium
Lineage: Bacteria
Description: partial 16S ribosomal RNA
Rfam family: Bacterial small subunit ribosomal RNA
Source: RNAcentral
UACGGGGGGGGCAAGCGUUGUUCGGAAUUACUGGGCGUAAAGGGCUCGUAGGUGGCCAACUAAGUCAGACGUGAAAUCCCCAGGCUCAACUUGGGAACUGCGUCUGAUACUGGAUGGCUUGAAUUCGGGAGAGGGAUGCAGAAUUCCAGGUGUAGCGGUGAAAUGCGUAGAUAUCUGGAGGAAUACCGGUGGCGAAGGCGGCAUCCUGGACCGACACUGACGCUGAGGAGCGAAAGCCAGGGGAGCAAACGGG